Non-coding RNA from Cinara cedri, 264 nucleotides. The record is from the annotation of a GenBank genome assembly. NCBI's taxonomy places the organism in Eukaryota, Metazoa, Arthropoda, Insecta, Hemiptera, Aphididae.
AUGUGGAAAGAUACUUUAUGAAGGCCAUUUUUCUAUUUACUCAAAAGUUUUCUCAUCAAAUGUGAAAAACCGAGAAAAUAUUUAAUUUUAAUUUUGUAAUUGGAAUAAUUGGAAUUGUACCAUAAUAUGAUGUAUAUAUUGUUGAUAAAGCAGCACUAUCAACUAAACUCCACUCAGAAUAGUUUUUUUGUUAGCAAUUGUUUAUCGUUGCUUACAUGUGUACAUUAAAUUACUUAUAACAGUGGCUGCACCCGACCCCAUUAU